GCAUAUGGAACUCACUUUUUCUAUUCCCCCCAGAUGAGGAAGAAAAUCAGGAACUACAGGCAGACCUACCCUUAGAAGUCUAUGAGGAUCCCGUGAAUCCACAAGUCUGAGUGCAUGUCUGUUCCCGCACUUUGAUGAAUUCCAAUAGUAUAGUGAAAGAAGUGGCCCUUAUGUUUUGUAUUUUGUAGCUAUUUCUAGCCUCAGUGAUCUAUGUAUUUGUAACUAUGUAUAUGUAUCUGUAAGGGAUUUAUUAAGGUCUUGAUUCCACUACAUAAAUAUUAUCAUGUACUCAUUAUCCUGAAUCUAUAUCUGACACUCAAUUAUCUUAAGUGGCACUUGGGAUGUCACACUCUCACUCUAAGCUCU
RNAcentral lists this long non-coding RNA (366 nucleotides) under Carica papaya (papaya). RNAcentral describes it as "long non-coding RNA (CPAP_LNC009050)". The record is from RNAcentral. Lineage: Eukaryota; Viridiplantae; Streptophyta; Magnoliopsida; Brassicales; Caricaceae.